GGCACAGCAAGCGUUUAUGUAGCAUCUACCGUGAGCUACGUAUUCAACCCUUCCAACCCCAUGAAGUAGAUACUGCUUUUCACCCCUUCUUCCAACAGGGAAGGAAGAGGAUUUUUCAGAUGCUGUGGCCUCCCAGCUAGAAAGCAGGGGAGACAGUAUCAGAGCCAGGCAGUGGGGCUCCAGAAUGCUCUCACUCACUCCUCCACCAACCCUCCCCGGAAGAAGCAGAGGGCAACGUGCCUGAGUCUGAUGCACACGUGUAUCGUUCAGCUUAGCCACGGUAGGGCACACCCAAACUGUUAGAACGUGGCAACACGGAUCAAAAUCCAGAAUCAAAAUCCAGGCUCACCUUUCAGAGACUUUAAAAUGGUCAUAGGGAAACCAGCCUGGGAACUUCUGUGGAAAAGGACAUUUCAAAAAACUCUUUAUGGGAGUUCCCUGGCACUCCAGUGGUUAGGACUCGGCACCUUCACUGCCGGGGCCCAGGUUCAAUCCCUGGUUGGGGAACUAGGGUCCCGCAAGCCACAUGGCUCGGCCAAAUAUAUAUAUAUAAAUAAUAAUAAUAAUAAAAUUAAUAAAAAUUUAAAACCCUUUACUACCAAGAGUUUCAAACACAUACCAAUGUAGACAAUGGCAUAACCUUCCAUGAAUUUCUCACCCGGCUCCAACUAUGACCAAUACCUGGCCUGUCUUAUUUCAUCUGUGCUCCCCACAUUCCCGCUCCCAGAUUUUUUUUUUUUUAAUUUUAAAAUAUUUAUUUAUUUAUUUAUUUAUUUAUUUAGGCUGCACUGGGUCUUUAGUUACGGCACGCGGGAUCUCCGUUUUGUUAUGCAGGAUCCUUAGUUGCGGCAUGCGGGACUUCUUAGCUGCAGCAUGAGGGAUCUAGUUCCCCGACCAGGGAUCGAACCCGGGCCCCCUGCAUUGGGAGUGCGGUGUCUUACCCACUGGACCACCAGGGAAGUCCCUCCCAGAUUAUUCUGAUAAGGACUUUUUAAAAAAACAAAACUACACGGGAAAAUGGUGCUCUGAAUGCAGCAUUUUGCAUCUGUCAGUAAACAGGGAGCAAAGCCAAAACGGCAGUGACCCAGCCACAGUCUCUUUAGUUCAAAAGGAAGAUGGGGGACUUCCCUGGUGGCGCAGUGGUUAAGAAUCCACCUGCCAAUGCAGGGGACACAGGUUCGAUCCCUGGUCCAGGAAGAUCCCACAUCCUACGGGGCGGCCAAGCCCGCAUGCCACAACACUGAGCCCACGCGCUCUAGGGCCUGCGUGCUGCAACUACUGAGCCCGCGUGCUGCAACUACUGAAGCCUGUGUGCCUAGAGCCCGUGCUCCACAACAAGAGAAGCCACUGCAAUGAGAGGCCCACGCACUGCAACGAAGAGCGGCCCCCACUCGCCGCAACUAGAGAAAGCACUUGUGCAGCAACGAAGGCCCAACACAGCCAAAAAAUAUAUAUAAAUAAAUAAAAAGAAACUUUAUAUAUAUAAAAAAAGGAAGAUGGGAUUUCUUCCCAUUUCCCUAGCUCAUAAUCCAUUUAUACUUUGGAGCUUGAGAACUGAUUGCAAUGGUAAUUUUAGUUCAGCAAGCACCCUGCAACUGUCAUUCAUUCCGAUAGAAGAUCUUUCUAUUUUUGUUUGAAAGAGGGUGGGUAAGUUUAAGUCUGACACAUGAUAACUGAUUCACGUGAAUCUGCUGGAAUAAUUCGGUGCUUGCCAACAUUUCAGACCUGCUAGUAAUCGUGUGGCUACCUCUGUAAAGCUCUAGGGCCAAGGCUGAAAUAUGUUACUUAAAAAGCAGGGCUCUGUCAAAUACAUCUGGUGAUCUUCACUCCUAACAGCAUCUUUCCCUGAUAUUUAUUAAAAUGGUAUCUAUAGUUUCCCCCCCGCCCUCAAAUUUUCCUCAAGGAUCUUUUUUGGUUUUGUUCUUCAGUUUACAGGUUAUGUAGGGGGAGUGAUCACAGUGGAAUUUCUUUUCCCAGUAAAAAAGUAAAACACCUACAGAAUGAAACCCAAAGUCAAUGAACUCAAGCAUUCUGACUCUCACUUAGCCUCUCACCAUAUUCCACUGCACAGCCUAUUCUUCCCAGGACUGCUCCUCAUUCCUUGAACGUGCCCUAAUCCCCUGGCUCCGUGUCUUUCCUGGUGCAAUUUCCUCUGCUGGGAAUAUUCCCUUCCUUUCCACCUCCCACAUCUCCACUUGUGCAAAUUCUACUGGUCCUUCCAAGUCUGGCUUCCAGCCUCUUCCCCAUGAAGCAAAUCCGUUAGUCCCACAGCUCAUGGUACCUCUUCUGUCAUACUGAUCACAUUUUGCCCAACACACAAUAAACACUCUUCACAAUAAACACUCUUCAACCCAGUGUCUCCAGAUCCUAGGACACUUCCUGAUAAAUGCUGGGGAACUGAACCAACUCCAAACAAAAUUCACUGAACUUAUUUUGGUCCAAAUCAGACAAAAAGGACCACUUCAUUGAAAAUUGAAAGGCAGGGACUUCCCUGGUGGCGCAGUGGUUAAGAAUCCGCCUGCCAAUGCAGGGGACACGGGUUUGAUCCCUCAGGGUCCAGGAAGAUCCCACAUGCCGCGGAGCAACUAAGCCCGUGCGCCACAACUACGGAGCCUGCACUCUAGAGCCCGCGAGCCACAACCACUGAGCCCACGAACCACAACUACUGAAGCCCGUGCGCCUAGAGCCCGUGCUCCGCAACAAGAGAAGCCACCACAAUGAGAAGCCCCUGCUCCGCAGCAAUGACGAGCAGCCCCCGCUCGCCCAACCAGAGAAAGCCCGCACGCAGCAACGAAGACCUAACACAGCCAAAAAAUUAAUUAGUUAAUUAAUUAUUUUUAAAAAGAAAGAAAGGAAAUUGAGAGGCAGGACGUUACACCAUCUGCCACCAAAUUGUAAAAGGAGGGCAUAUGUGCGUCUCAUCAUUAACAAGCAACUUCCGACAAGACACCUCUCUGGUAUCCUUAUCAGUAAAAGGAUGAUAAACAACUAGAACAAGGGAAGGUGCACGGGAAGAGUGAGACACUUUGGGUCCGGUCUGGGCUCUGCCUCUAACUCACUUUGUGUCUUUUGUCUACUACGGCUGUAAUUUCUCCACAUGGGGGAAAAAGAGAGAUCACUGUGUUGUUUGGAUCUCUGCUCUGGUAUUCUCUAAAGGGCCCUAAAAUUCUUAAGAGUCUAAUCUUACUUCCUUCUUCUACCGCAAGGUUGCAGGAAAAACAAACAAAAAUCAGAGACCAUAAUAAUUAUAGUUAACCUGUAUUGAACACUUAGGAGGUGCCAGGCACUGUGCUAAGCACUUAACUCCCCUCACCUCUCAACAAUAUCGGGACACACCCACUUCUAUUAUUGCCAUUUCAGAUGCCAAAGGUGAAAUGCAAAAAGAUUGCCUUUUGUCCCAAAUCACAGAAGUAGCCCAGCGGGGGAGUUAGAACCAAGGGCUUUUAUUGACUCCAGAGCUUGAGCUCUUAACUCUUUCCUUAGAUAGCUGUCACAAAAUAUAAAGCUUGAGAUGGGGAUAGGAAAAAGCAGGCCACGUCUGGGUGUCUGAGGCUGAGAGCCCCCUCGCAGCCAAGUGGGAAAGGAACCCGUCCCCAUUCCACAGGAAAAGGUCACAAAGAUCCACCAAAUAAAGCUGACAUUGCUGUACACAGUCAGAGCUCCUGUUCAAAGCUUUAAGAGUUCCUCAAAUUAAACUCUGGAAAAAAAUUACAAAGGGAUAAAAGAUGAGUUUCCGGUUUUCUCCCUCACCUGCAUGCUCCUAUCAAUACUAAAUACCAAGAGCAGAGGGGGCUUCACAGCUUCUCGUUACUCUUUCUAGGUGUAUUUUCUCCGUUGCAACAUUGCAUUGGGAUUUUCUACCACCAUCUCUCUGGAUGUUUAGAUUCUCGUCAUUACUUCAUAAACGGAGAUGGGACGUGAGAGAUGAAUCGUCGGGGCUGGAGGUGAGUGGGGCAAUGAACCAUUAAAGACAGAAGUGUGGAAAGUGAAAAAGCACUGGAUUGGGAGUCAGAACACCCAGGUGUAAGACUUAGUGUUAUCUUGGGCAAAAUUUAAAUCACCUGUUAAAUGCUGAGUGCCUCUUCGCCGCGUUUUUUUUUUUUUGUGAAGAUGAGAGAAGGUAGUGUCUUUGAAAGCGCUUUCUAAUUAUACAUUAUUAUACAAAUAAAAGCUAUUCUUAAGCAAACAAACAAAGCACUCGUCCCCAGGCUGAGUCUGCAGAACAGAACAACCGGCGCUUCCCACCAGGUGGGAAAUAAACUGAAGGCUGGCGCCCAGAGCCGUCCGAGCACGCGCAGUGAGGCCGUGGACGCUAACACGGAAGUCUCCGUGAAGAAGUCUAUACUUCCGAUCCGCCCGUCCCCCCCCCUCCCCCCCGCCCCCCGCCCCGCAGCGCCUCCGUCUCGGCCGCCGGCCCUCAGGGCUGCCUUCCCCAGCCCGUCACCAUCUGAAGGGGCACAGGACGGAAGCGGCCAUCCUACCAACCCAGCUGUCGCCCCCACUCCCGGCAACACAACCCCAAAAGGUCCUCCCUCCCCUUUGCCCGCUUUCAACAUGGCGGCCCACGCACGCUCCGACAUACCGUCCAGGCCGAAUUCCCUCGUCCUUCUCGCCAGGGUGGGUCCCACUCCCACAAAACCGCUCCCGCUCACCUCAGCAAGGCUCGGGCUUCCUUUCCCACGGAGCCCGGUGCCGAGCUCGAAGCGACGGAAGAUCCUUCCUCCUUGACUGACAGGACCUUUACAUCGGAAGUAGCAGAUUCGUCACGGGCCCUGUUUCCGUUUUUGCUUUUAUUUUAAGAAAUUUAAUCACAUGCCUUGAGCGUCGACUGCAUAUCGUCUCCGAAGAGAAUGAACUUUCCGUUUCUCUAAAAUUGUUCACGAAGACAGAAACUGCUAAAUUGAACGAAAGUUGAAAGACGAGCGAAUAUGCGGCUAGUUGUCUGGGAGCCGCUGAAUUUCUCUCCGUAGCGAAGAGGUGUUUCAGCGCGAUGCGACUUUUAGUGCUUAGACUCACUUUGAGAAUUUGAUUAAUAUUGUGGGGUUUUUUUACUCAGAAAAUGCGUAUGCCGGUUCACAAGGAAACUUUGUACGUAUGUUUUGCCAGAGUUUUUCUAACCCGUAAAUUUAACACGUUCGCUUUCCACACAAGCAAAACAGUUCUUCACAGUCAGUUUGGAGACUUUGACUUAAGAAUCGCGCGGAAGCUGGUUUAAAUGCCGUUUCCUGGGCCCCGCAGGGAAUCAGUGAAUUCAGAAUCGCUGAAAAUUUGCAGUUUUUUGCAAGUCCCCCCAAAUGACUCUUUGAGGACCCCUGCCUUUAGAGUCACGGUUAAGAAGCCCAGAUUUAAAACCUAAGCGUGGGAGGGAGAGGGGAGAACCGUGUAGUCAGUAAAUCUGUGUAGAACGGGUAGAUGUAUGCAUUCAGAUUAUGCUGUGUUUCUUUUUUGUUAGGUCAAAAUAUUCGGGUAGCUUACGACUUGUGGUACAACUUGAAAUGUCUUGAUACAGUUGUGCUUUUCUUGAUGAGAGUCUCGUGAUUUCUUCAGCCACCCAUUUUCUGAUUAAUUCUUACAAGUGGGUCCUUUCUGCGAACAGCUGAUCUCAUUUUGAUUCCGGUCCUAUUCUUAGAAGUUACUCAAUGGAAAAUACUUUGACUUUUUAAAAGUGCGAUUUACCAGGUUUCACUGUGUAACAAAAAGGAAGGAAGAUAUGGUGCCUUAGAGGAUGAAUUUCUAGAGAAAUUUCAAGGCAGAAGGAACUUUUGAAAAGGACAGUGGUGCAGAAGAGAUUCAUACCAGCAGUGGUGGCUGGGGAUCCUGAUGGUAAAAAAUAAAUGCAGCAACAUUAAAUUCUUUCUGAUAAGCAUUGCUCUGCGAAGGCUACAUUCCAGCAAUGAUGUUCGGUGGUUUUUAGUCUAUUCACAGAGUUGUGCAACCAUCACCACAAUCUAAUUUUAGACCAUUUUCAUCACCCCAAAAAGAAGCCCUGUCUGCAUUAGCACUCGCUCCCCAUCCCCCUCCCCCAGCUCUAGACAACCACUAAUCUACUUUCUAUCUCUUUGGAUUUGCUGUUGUGCACAUUUCAUAUAAAUGGAAUCAUACAAUAGGUGGCCUUUGUGGCUGGCUUCUUUCACUCAGUAAAAUGUUUUCAAGAUUCAUCCACAUUGUAGCAUCUGUCAGUGCUUCAUUCCUUACCUCCUUACCAGCACUUUAUUGAGGUAUAAUUUACCUAAAGGAAAUACACAGUGUUAAGCAUACAGUUCCAUAAUAUUUCACCUACGUAUAUACUCAUGUGACCUUCACCAAGAUCAAGAUGUAGCACAUUUUCAUCACCGCAUAGAGUUUCCUCAUAUGUUAAAAGAAGGAAAACUGGUAAAGUACACAUAAGGUAAAAUUUAUUUUACAACCUUAACCAUUUUUAAGUGUACAGUUCGGUAGUGUUAAGUACGUUCAUAUUGUUGUGCAACCAAACUCCAGAACUUUUUCACCUUACAGAAUGAAACUCUAUACCCACUAAACAACAACCCUCCAUUCCCCCCUCCCCCCAGCCCCUGGCAACCACCAUUCUACUUUCUGUUUCUGUGAGUUUGUACAGUAGAUAUCUCAUAUAAGUGAAAUCAUAUAGUAUUUAUCUUUUGGUGACUGACUUAAUUUCACUUAGCAUAAAGUUCUCAAGGUUCAUCGAUGUUGUGGCAUGUGUCAGAAUUUCCUUCCUUUUUAAGGCUGAUUAAUAUUCCAUUGUAUGUAUACACCGCAUUUUUUUAUCCAUUCAUCUGUGGCUGGACAUUUGGGUAACUUCCACCUUUUGGCUAUUGUGAAUAAUGCUACUAUGAACAUGAGUGUGCAAAUAUCUCUUUGACACCCUGCUUUCAAUUCUUUUGGAUAUGUACCCCAAAGUGGUAUUGCUAGAUCAUAUGAUAAUUCUGUUUUUCAUUUCAUUUCAUUUAUUUAUUUAUUUAUUCUUAUUAUUUUUUUAUACAGCAGGUUCUUAUUAGUCAUCCAUUUUAUACAUAUCAGUGUAUCCAUGUCAAUCCCAAUCGCCCAGUUCAUCACACCACCCCCACCCCCCCAGCCACUUUCCCCCCUUGGUGUCCAUACGUUUGUUCUCUACGUCUGUGUCUCAAUUUCUGCUCUGCAGGGACUUCCCUGGCAGUCCAGUGGUUAAGACUCUGCACUUCCACUGCAGGGGACGCAGGUUUGUUCCCUGGUUGGAAAACUAAGAUCCCAAAUGACGUAAAGUGUGGCCAAAAAAAAAAAUAAAGAAAGAAAUGCAAUUGAUAUUUUAUAUUGAUCUUGUAUGCUGCAACCUUGAGUUCAUUUAUUAGCUCUAAUAGUUUUUUUGUGGAUUCUUUAGCCUAUUAAUAUGGUGGAUUACAUAGAUUGAUUUUUUUUUAGUAUUUAUUUAUUUAUCUUUGGCUGCAUCGGGUCUUGGUUGUAGCUGCGGGAUUUUUUUUUUUUUUUUUAAAUGGCUGUGUUGGGUCUUCGUUGCUGUGCGUGGGCUUUCUCUAGUUGCGGUGAGCAGGGGCUACUCUUCGUUGCGGUGCGUGGGCUUCUCAUUGCGGUGGCUUCUCUUACUGUGGAGCACGGGCUCUAGACGCGCAGGCUUCAGUAGUUGUGGCUCGCGGGCUCAGUAGUUGUGGCUCGUGGGCUCUAGAGCGCAGGCUCAGUAGUUGUGGCGCACGGGCUUAGUUGCUCCACGGCAUAUGGGAUCUUCCCUGACCAGGGCUCAAACGCGUGUCUCCUGCCUUGGCAGGCAGAUUCUUAACCACUGCGCCACCAGGGAAGUCCCUAAUUUAUUUAGUUUUUACUUUUUUGGCUGCAUCAGUCUUAGUUGUGGCACAUGGGAUCUUCGUUGAGGCACGCGGGAUCUUUUGUUGCAGUGCACAGGCUUCUCUCUAGUUGUGGCUUGCUGGUUUUCUCUCUCUAGUUGUGGUGCUCCGGCUCCAGAGCACGUGGGCUCUGUAGUUUCCGGCACACGGGCUCUCUCGUUGAGGUGCGCGAGCUCAAUAGUUGUGGCGUGUGGGCUCAGUUCCCCGACCAGGGAUCGAACCUGCGUCCCCUGCAUUGGAAGGUGGAUUCUUUACCACUGGACCACCAAGGAAGUCCCAAAAGAUAAUUUUACUUAAGUCAAACUGAGGAUUAUAACCCAAGAGACAGACUCUCAGAAGCUCUGAGAACUGUUCUGCCUAUUAGAAGUCGAAGACACAGUCAUAAGCCUUUUUGAGACAAAGGAUCAUACAUCAAAAUGACAUACUGACAUUUUACUUAAACUUCACCAAAGAUACAUAGUCCAGGUAAGCAAGCAAUUAAGUCACCGUGACUCCCUGCAGAGUUUGGAAAGUGUGCUCAUCUUUUAAGCAGUUACAUUGCUAGCAUCAGAAGAAAGGGAAAAACAAGUUGACCUUCGUGGUCAAGCAGGCAUUCCCACCUUUGAGGAGGUCUGGUUAAUGUAUAAUGCAAACGUACCUUGCACAUGAGAGAGGGAGGGAGGAGGUCCAAAUGGACAGAGAGAGAAUUUUGUUUACAUUUUCUUGUCCUGCCUUAAAAUAUAAAUUUAAUUUCAUCAAUGUAGUCCAGUUUAUCUAUUUUUUCUUUUGUUUCUUUUUCUGUGUUUUCAAAAAAUUCAUUGCCAAAUCCAUUGACAUAAAGCUUUUCCACUAUGUUUUCUUCUUAGAGUUUUAUAGCUUUAGGCCUUUGAUCCAUUCUGAGUUAAUUUUUGUAUAUAGUGUAAGGUAAGGUACGUCACACUUUUGCACGUGGGUAUCCAAUUUUCCCAACACCAUUUGUUGAAAAAACUAUCCUUUCCCGCAAUGAACAGUCUUGGCACCCUUGUUGAAAAUAAUUUGACCGUGUUUGUGAGGGUUUCUUUCUGGACCCUCUAUUCCUUCAUUCCUUUUUAUGAGUGAAUAAUAGUCCAUUGUAUGGAUAUACCAUAUUAUAUUUAAUGGUAAGCCUAAUAUUUCUCCAUAUUUAAUCACAGGGUGUCAUCAGGUCUGUGAUUAAUGGAUUCCUGAGCCCUUGCCCGGGGCCUUGUUUGAUCAUUAAAACAUUGUACCAUUGUACCAUCUGAAAAUAGUGUCUGUUUUGUUUGUUUGCUUUUUGUUUGUUUGUUUCAU
Long non-coding RNA from Physeter macrocephalus (sperm whale), 9116 nucleotides. RefSeq lists it as uncharacterized. Lineage: Eukaryota; Metazoa; Chordata; Mammalia; Artiodactyla; Physeteridae. The transcript has 3 exons. The record is from RefSeq and is a predicted model, not a curated record.